CAUGGCUAUCAUAUCACCCCUUAACCUUCUCUUCUCCAGGGUAAACAUACCCAGCUCUCUAAGCCGUUCCUCAUAAGGCAUCGUUUCCAGGCCUUUGACCAUUUUGGUUGCCCUCUUCUGGACACAUUCCAGCUUGUCAGUAUCCUUCUUGAACUGUGGUGCCCAGAACUGGACACAGUACUCCAGGUGAGGUCUGACCAGAGCAGAAUACAGUGGUACUAUUACUUCCCUUGAUCUAGAUGCUAUAUAUGGGGAGUAUAUAUGGGGAGGGCUGUUAGGUGUGCAAACAUGUAACAGGUUAGUCCAGUAGGUCAAGUGCUUGCAGACAGGGGGGCCUGUGCAGAAUUAGGUGAAUCACAAUGUGCCUCUUGGCAUUAUUAUGAAAAUAGUUCACAGAGCAACAUGGGGGAGGGGAGAGAGGAGGAGGCAUUUCCUUCCCCUGAGAAGUUUGCAGCCUAAAUUUCCCAGGACAUGGUCCAUGAAGGCACAUAUUGGUGUGGAUCAGGGCCUGGAUGGGAGACUACCUGGGGUGCCUAGGAGCAUAGGAAGCUGUAUUAUCAGACCAUUGGUCCAUCUAGUUCACUGCUGUCUAUACCGCCUGACAGCAGCUCUCCAGAGUUUCAGGCGGGAGUCUCUACUAAUCCUAUCUUCAGAUGCUGGGGAUUGAAUGUGGGACCUUCUGCAUGCAAGGCAGAUGCUCUACUAUUCCUUUCUUCCUCUGUGCACUGCCUUGAGUUCUGUGAUUGAAGAAAGGCAGGCUCUCAAUAUAACAGAUGAUUUCCAGCCUUUGGGAAAGGAUAAUGGGGAGAAGGUGAGCAAAAUCAGCAAAGUGUGCUUGGACUUUAAGGCAGCCUUUACCCAACUUGGUGCCCUCCAGAUAUACAGGGCUACAACUCCCAUUGGCCCCUGCCAGCACAGCUGUUGGAUGUAGGCACUCCCAUGAGUUGUAUUUCAAAACAACUGGAGGACACUAGGUUAGUGAAGGCAGUGUUAGGGAGCAGAAUAAGGGUUUGUACCAAAAGCUUCUCAGAAGAGGUGGUGAAGGAUGGUAUAUACAUGACCCAUGUUGUGAGAGUGCACGUGCACAUGUACCUAUAGUUGGCAGUCGCCUAGCACUAUCCAUCCUGUGGUGGACAUUGGUGUGUGUGCGUGCAGACAAGCAGGGAUGAGGGUCAUCCCAGUGCUAAUUCUUAGGGAUAGGGGAAGGGCAAGCUGGGGUGUGUGUGUGCAAUUGCACGUAUUGCUUUAUAUCCCACUCUUUUCUCCAAGUUGCUCAAGGUGGUGUACAUUCUCCCUCCUCAUUUAAUCCCCAAACAACCCUGUGAGGUAGGUUAGGCUGAGAUGCCCAGUGGACUUUCUUGCCAAGUGGUGAUUUGAGCCCUGGUCUCUCCCAAGUCCUAGUUCAAUACACUAACCACUACACAGCGCUGGCUGUAUGGUUUAUGGGAGCAGCCAAUGUUUGCUGUUCCGUACAUUGCACUUUGCACUUAGCACUGACAAGCAAAUGUUGAGGCCACUUUUUUUCAAAGCCAUUCAGUGGUUUGUGCCAGUGGAUUAAUUUUUAUAAGCCUGUCUAUAAAGUUGUAUGUCACAGAGGGAGCCUGAUUUCAUUUUGGAUCCCAGAUUCCUUAAUUUGUGGGGAUAAGCUGAAUUCCCAUUGAUAUUACUACCCAUGUUCAGAUUUUGCUGUUAUAGUCAGGUCAAAGCGCUACCCGCCACUGGAACCAAGAUUGCUUGCCUGGUCAAAUAUGGGUGCCUAGACCACCUUCCCUCUGCUAUCAUGGAAUGACUUAUGCAUGAAUUUCAUAACUAGGCAUCCUCUCCAAAUGGUGUGCUGCCCCAUUGAACACGUCCACAGGUACAUGGUACAUGACAGGCACCCUCUGUCUUCUUCUGGCUCAUGUGUGCACAAUGACCAUGAAUGGCGCCAAGGAUUGUUUGAUGCUUGGUUGUGGAAAAAAUUAUUCUGACUCAGAAACAAUAUUUCCUUAUUUAUUUAGGUAAUUUUAUACUGCUUUGUACUUUAAGGAAGCUUCUGAGGGGUUUACAGCAUCUGAAAAAAACACACAAAUAAGAUAAAAUAAAAGUUCCACAUUUUAGCGCAGCAGAAAACAUGGAGUCAUAGAAUUGUAGAGUUGGAAGGGCCAUCUAGUCUAACCCCCUGAAAUGCAGAAAUCACAGUUAAAGAUAGAUUUUGUUGUUGUUUAGUCUAGAUAGGUUAUCCUUAAAUGUCAAUAUAAACCAAAACAAUAAAUAGAUGGGGCCUGUAAUAACUACUAGCGGAGCUGAAAUGCAGCAGAGACAACCAGCCCCAUCUGCCAAAUACACAAGCUUUUAUUUAUAGGUAGCAGCAACACUCUCUGCUCGCUCCCCACCUUAAGCUGACACAAGAAAGGUGCGUGGGGGGGUGGGAAUGAUACACUCGCCACCCCAACCCACCCUUGGAAUUCCCUGCUGUCAUCAGGGAGCACCCGCGCUCUUUGAGCACCAAUGAGGUGCAGUUUAGAGUGCUGGACUCUGACCUGGAAGAGCAGGAUUCGAAUUGCCACUUGGCCAUGAAGCUCUUACUGGGUGGCUUUGGCCAGUCACUGCCUAUCAGCCUAACCUACUGCACAGAUGUGUUAUAGGGAUUAUAUGAGGAGAGGGAGAACCAUGUACACCGUCUUAAGCUCCUUGGAAGAAAAGGUGGGAUAUUCAUGUAAGAAAUAAACAAGUUCCUACCUCGUUAAAAGCUGCGUUCAGAACUUGGGGGGAACUUCAGAGACUGGCUCCUCAGCCUCAAGACUGUAAUAGCUCCAUCUUGGCCUAUAUUUAUUAUGGGCUACAUACACAGCCCUUUCUUUUUUUAGAAUAGCAAAAAAAGAAGAAGUCAUUUUCCAGGUAUCUAAUUUGAAGAACAGUAUCUCUCUGGGAAACAAGGAAUGCUCGGCCCCUGAUUGAAGUUGCCUUGCAGAUACCAGUCUCUGAAGAAACUGUUAGCUAGCUUCCCUAAAAUAUUUUUCUCCUUGUCCUAUUAAACAUCUCUCCCCCCUCCCGCCCAGUCACCACCACCUUCAUGGGGGAAGAUAAAAUGUGUGCUUGAUAACAGGUGAAACAGCUCAUAUUGUGAAGUUUGAAAGCAAGCAAAAAACCUAGUUUGGUAUAUUUAGAAGAACCUGCUGAACUUGAAUGUCUCAGUGCUGAAUUUUCAAUGAGGGAUGAUGUCAUUUUUCAAGAGAAGAAAUUGUUUUAAUGCAUCCUAGAAAUUCUGGUCUUUGUCAGUGUCUGAAGGCAGACCACAGUCAUUUGGUAGAUCAAGAAUAGGUAAAUCUAAUUGGAUCAGAUGUUGGGGCAUCCAGAAUCAAUAUCUCCUGAGCUUAAAAUGGGUUUUUGUCAUGGGGCCAAAACAUUUUUGGGUGGGUGGGAGAAAUGCUUCAACUUCACAAGGCUUUCACAUCAUUAAAAAGCUUAUCUCAUUUUAAUUAAAACUAGUUUCACUGCAGUCUUCUCGAGUAUUACUGUAGGUGGGUGGAUUCUAGAUUUGACCAAUAAUAUUGAAACAUGUGAACAUAUGACAGCUGCCUUUAUGUGCCAGACCAUCCUGAUAUACAUCAGGCUGAAAAUGCUCCCAUGAACACAGAAAGCUGCUAUAUGCAGAGUCAGGUUAGUGGUCCACAAUUUCAGCUUUUCCUGACUUGCAGUUUUGGACUACAAAUCCCAUCUGCCCCAACCAACCUUCAUCAUUCUAGCUGGGGGCCUGGGGCCAAUGGGAAUUGUAGUCUAACAGCUUCUGGAGAGCACCAGGUUGGGGGAACCUGAUCUGGGCCAGUAUGCCUUCUCUGACUAUCAGUGGCUCCCCAGAGUCCUUAGUAGAGAUUCAUCCCGGCCCUGCUGCCUUAUAUCUGUAAAAUGGCCCUAGAACCCGAGACCUCCCAAAUGCAAAGUGCAUGCUCUGCCUCUGAGCUCUGGACCCUUCCCAACAUUUUAAUAGGUUCAGUGCUAGGUCUAGUCAGCAUAGAAAACUCGCUACAGAGUCCAUGACCCCCCCCCAGUCCAAGCUUUGAAACUGUGAUGUGUACAUGCACCAGCCAGACCCAGGUCAUGAGAUAAUAUAAGAAAAACCUGGCUGCUGGGAUCAGGCCAGAGGGCAGGCCAGAGGGGGUCAAUCUAGUCCAGCAUCCUGUUCUCACAGUGGCCAACAAGAUGCCCCAUUGUGAAGCCCACCAGCAGUGCUAUCUCUACUCAUGUUCCUCAGCAACUGGCAUUCAGAGGUCUACCAACUCAGACAGUGACAGCAGAACACAGCCAUCAUGGCGAGUAGCCUUGACAGCCUUAUCCACCAUGAAUUUGUGUAAUCUCCCUUUUAAAGCCAUCAAAGUUGGUGGCUAUGACCACAUCACAUGGGAGCAAAUUUCAUAGCUUAGCUACGUGCAACUGUGUAAGAUGCCUUGGUUUAUUGGUUUCUGGGGAAGAAGUUUGAUCACCCUCCUGCUUUCUUCAUAUUCUUCCUAUGCUUCCAGUUGAGAUGAGGGAACAGAACACAAUCAGGAAAAGAUCAGAUGG
This is a non-coding RNA of Zootoca vivipara (common lizard), 4542 nucleotides long. The record is from RefSeq and is a predicted model, not a curated record. Lineage: Eukaryota; Metazoa; Chordata; Lepidosauria; Squamata; Lacertidae.